This 301-nucleotide ribosomal RNA is filed under the name uncultured bacterium. RNAcentral's name for it is "partial 16S ribosomal RNA". It matches the Rfam family "Bacterial small subunit ribosomal RNA", at positions 509 to 809 of the family's 1533-position model. The record is from RNAcentral.
CAGUAGCCGCGGGAAUACGUAGGUGGCAAGCGUUGUCCGGAAUUAUUGGGCGUAAAGGACUCGCAGGCGGUUUCUUAAGUCUGAUGUGAAAGCCCCCGGCUCAACCGGGGAGGGUCAUUGGAAACUGGGAAACUUGAGUGCAGAAGAGGAGAGUGGAAUUCCACGUGUAGCGGUGAAAUGCGUUGAGAUGUGGAGGAACACCAGUGGCGAAGGCGACUCUCUGGUCUGUAACUGACGCUGAGGAGCGAAAGCGUGGGGAGCGAACAGGAUUAGAUACCCCCGUAGUCCCUGUCUCUUAUAA